RNAcentral lists this ribosomal RNA (686 nucleotides) under uncultured bacterium. RNAcentral's name for it is "bacterial SSU rRNA". It matches the Rfam family "Bacterial small subunit ribosomal RNA", at positions 102 to 806 of the family's 1533-position model. The record is from RNAcentral.
ACGGGUGAGUAACGCGUGGGUAACCUGCCUCAUACAGGGGGAUAACAGUUAGAAAUGACUGCUAAUACCGCAUAAGCGCACAGGGCUGCAUGGCCCGGUGUGAAAAACUCCGGUGGUAUGAGAUGGACCCGCGUCUGAUUAGCUGGUUGGAGGGGUAACGGCCCACCAAGGCGACGAUCAGUAGCCGGCCUGAGAGGGUGAACGGCCACAUUGGGACUGAGACACGGCCCAGACUCCUACGGGAGGCAGCAGUGGGGAAUAUUGCACAAUGGGGGAAACCCUGAUGCAGCGACGCCGCGUGAAGGAAGAAGUAUCUCGGUAUGUAAACUUCUAUCAGCAGGGAAGAAAAUGACGGUACCUGACUAAGAAGCCCCGGCUAACUACGUGCCAGCAGCCGCGGUAAUACGUAGGGGGCAAGCGUUAUCCGGAUUUACUGGGUGUAAAGGGAGCGUAGACGGAAGAGCAAGUCUGAUGUGAAAGGCUGGGGCUUAACCCCAGGACUGCAUUGGAAACUGUUUUUCUAGAGUGCCGAAGAGGUAAGCGGAAUUCCUAGUGUAGCGGUGAAAUGCGUAGAUAUUAGGAGGAACACCAGUGGCGAAGGCGGCUUACUGGACGGUAACUGACGUUGAGGCUCGAAAGCGUGGGGAGCAAACAGGGUUAGAUACCCUGGUAGUCCACGCCGUAAA